CGCCACAGCCAUAUCACCCCGCAGCCCAAGACCGGUUGCUAACUGAAGCUAAGCAGGGCUGAGCCUGGUCAGUACCUGGAUGGCAAACUAUAUGGGAAUACUCAAGCUCGUUUUCCUGA
RNAcentral lists this ribosomal RNA (119 nucleotides) under Danio rerio (zebrafish). The record is from RNAcentral. Lineage: Eukaryota; Metazoa; Chordata; Actinopteri; Cypriniformes; Danionidae.